This 690-nucleotide ribosomal RNA is filed under the name uncultured fecal bacterium TB101. Its description in RNAcentral is "bacterial SSU rRNA". It matches the Rfam family "Bacterial small subunit ribosomal RNA", at positions 32 to 715 of the family's 1533-position model. The record is from RNAcentral. Lineage: Bacteria; Pseudomonadati; Bacteroidota.
AACGCUAGCUACAGGCUUAACACAUGCAAGUCGAGGGGCAGCACAGUGUAGCAAUACACGGGUGGCGACCGGCGCACGGGUGCGUAACGCGUAUCCAACCUUCCCGUUACUCUGGGAUAGCCUUCCGAAAGGGAGAUUAAUACCGGAUGGUGUUCAAGUGGUGCAUAUUAUUUGAACUAAAGAUUUAUCGGUAACGGAUGGGGAUGCGUACCAUUAGAUAGUAGGCGGGGUAACGGCCCACCUAGUCCACGAUGGUUAGGGGUUCUGAGAGGAAGGUCCCCCACACUGGAACUGAGACACGGUCCAGACUCCUACGGGAGGCAGCAGUGAGGAAUAUUGGUCAAUGGCCGUAAGGCUGAACCAGCCAAGUAGCGUGAAGGAUGAAGGUUCUAUGGAUUGUAAACUUCUUUUAUACGGGAAUAACACCAUCUACGUGUAGAUGUCUGCAUGUACCGUAUGAAUAAGCAUCGGCUAACUCCGUGCCAGCAGCCGCGGUAAUACGGAGGAUGCGAGCGUUAUCCGGAUUUAUUGGGUUUAAAGGGAGCGUAGACGGGAUGUUAAGUCAGUUGUGAAAUGCUGUGGCUCAACCAUAGCACUGCAGUUGAUACUGGCGUUCUUGAGUGCGUAUGAGGUAUGUGGAAUUCGUGGUGUAGCGGUGAAAUGCUUAGAUAUCACGAAGAACUCCGAUUG